UACGGAGGGUGCGAGCGUUGUCCGGAUUUAUUGGGUUUAAAGGGUGCGUAGGUGGCUGAUUAAGUCAGUGGUGAAAUACAGCCGCUCAACGGUUGAGGUGCCAUUGAUACUGAUCAGCUUGAAAUAAUUGGAGGCUGCCGGAAUGGAUGGUGUAGCGGUGAAAUGCAUAGAUAUCAUCCAGAACACCGAUUGCGAAGGCAGGUGGCUACGAUUUAUUUGACACUGAGGCACGAAAGCAUGGGGAGCAAACAGG
RNAcentral lists this ribosomal RNA (253 nucleotides) under uncultured bacterium. Its description in RNAcentral is "partial 16S ribosomal RNA". It matches the Rfam family "Bacterial small subunit ribosomal RNA", at positions 524 to 776 of the family's 1533-position model. The record is from RNAcentral.